Molecule: ribosomal RNA, 492 nt
Filed under: uncultured bacterium
Lineage: Bacteria
Description: partial 16S ribosomal RNA
Rfam family: Bacterial small subunit ribosomal RNA
Source: RNAcentral
AUUGAACGCUGGCGGCAUGCUUUACACAUGCAAGUCGAACGGUAACAGGCCUUCGGUUGCUGACGAGUGGUGACCGGGGGCGUAAUGGUUCCGAAUGGGCCCCGUGGCGGGGGAAAACGCAUCGAAACCUGUGCUAAUACCGCAUGUGAUCUGAGAUUGAAAACGGGGGAGCAGGCAGGAAUGAUUGGCCUCGCGCCUUUGGUGCGGCCGAUGUCGGAUUAGCUAGUCGGUGGGGUAAAGGCCUACCAAGCCGACGAUCUGUAGCUGGUCUGAGAGGACGACCAGCCACACUGGGACUGAGACACGGCCCAGACUCCUACGGGAGGCAGCAGUGGGGAAUCUUCGACAAUGGGCGAAAGCCUGACCCAGCAAUGCCGCGUGAGUGAAGAAGGUCUUCGGGUUGUAAACCGCUUUUAUACGGAAAGAAAAGACUCUGGCGAAUACCUGCAGCUGAUGACGGUACCGUAAGAAAAAGCAACGGCUAACUACGUG